This 199-nucleotide long non-coding RNA is filed under the name Lathyrus oleraceus (garden pea). RNAcentral's name for it is "Pisum sativum (pea) long non-coding RNA (PSAT_LNC019127)". Lineage: Eukaryota; Viridiplantae; Streptophyta; Magnoliopsida; Fabales; Fabaceae. The record is from RNAcentral.
UUCUACUAUAUUUUCAAAUGAAAUCUAUAAUAAUUUUAUUUUAUUCAGAAAAAGAAAUUAGUCUCAAAAUAAUACAAUUUAUCUUCAGUAUUACACGAAAGUCAAAGAAAAAACACCGGAACUCAAAAACACCAAAAAAAAUUCGUGAUUUCCCGACUUUCAAUUUUGCUGAUUUCCGCCGUUUUUCGCAAUUUUCAAU